AAUCAACGCUGGCGGCGUGCCUAACACAUGCAAGUCGAACGCGAAAGGGACUUCGGUUCUUAGUAGAGUGGCGUACGGGUGAGUAACGCGUGGGUCAUCUGCCCUCGGGUGGGGGAUAACUAAUCGAAAGGUUAGCUAAUACCGCAUAACACAGUGAUGUCAAAGCAGCAAUGUGCCUGAGGGGGAGCCUGCGUCUGAUUAUGUAGUUGGUGGGGUAACGGCCUACCAAGCCUGCGAUCAGUAGCUGGUCUGAGAGGACGGCCAGCCACAAUGGCACUGAAAUGCGGGCCAUACUCCUACGGGAGGCAGCAGUGGGGAAUUUUGCGCAAUGGGCGAAAGCCUGACGCAGCAAUGCCGCGUGAGGGAUGAAAUAUUUCGGUAUGUAAACCUCGCAAAUAUGGGAAGAACAUAAUGACGGUACCAUAUGUAAGCCACGGCUAACUUCGUGCCAGCAGCCGCAGUAAGAC
This 467-nucleotide ribosomal RNA is filed under the name uncultured bacterium. Its description in RNAcentral is "bacterial SSU rRNA". It matches the Rfam family "Bacterial small subunit ribosomal RNA", at positions 32 to 526 of the family's 1533-position model. The record is from RNAcentral.